CCUACGGGUGGCAGCAGUGAGGAAUAUUGGUCAAUGGGCGCGAGCCUGAACCAGCCAAGUAGCGUGAAGGAUGACUGCCCUACGGGUUGUAAACUUCUUUUAUAAAGGAAUAAAGUGAGGCACGUGUGCCUUUUUGUAUGUACUUUAUGAAUAAGGAUCGGCUAACUCCGUGCCAGCAGCCGCGGUAAUACGGAGGAUCCGAGCGUUAUCCGGAUUUAUUGGGUUUAAAGGGAGCGUAGGCGGGCAUUUAAGCCGGCGGUCAAAUGUCGGGGCUCAACCCCGGCCUGCCGUCGGAACUGGGUGCCUUGAGUGGGCGAGAAGUAUGCGGAAUGCGUGGGGUAGCGGUGAAAUGCUUAGAUAUCACGAAGAACUCCGAUUGCGAAGGCAGCCUACUAAACUGCCACUGACAUUGAUGCUCGAAAGUGUGGGUAUCAAACAGGAUUAGAUACCCUAGUAGUC
Molecule: ribosomal RNA, 459 nt
Filed under: uncultured bacterium
Lineage: Bacteria
Description: partial 16S ribosomal RNA
Rfam family: Bacterial small subunit ribosomal RNA
Source: RNAcentral